UACGAAGGGGGCUAGCGUUGUUCGGAAUUACUGGGCGUAAAGCGCACGUAGGCGGAUACUUAAGUCAGGGGUGAAAUCCCGGGGCUCAACCCCGGAACUGCCUUUGAUACUGGGCAUCUCGAGUCCGGAAGAGGUGAGUGGAAUUCCGAGUGUAGAGGUGAAAUUCGUAGAUAUUCGCAAGAACACCAGUGGCGAAGGCGGCUCACUGGCCCGAUACUGACGCUGAGGCACGAAAGCGUGGGGAGCAAACAGG
This 253-nucleotide ribosomal RNA is filed under the name uncultured bacterium. RNAcentral describes it as "partial 16S ribosomal RNA". It matches the Rfam family "Bacterial small subunit ribosomal RNA", at positions 524 to 776 of the family's 1533-position model. The record is from RNAcentral.